This 398-nucleotide ribosomal RNA is filed under the name uncultured bacterium. RNAcentral's name for it is "bacterial SSU rRNA". It matches the Rfam family "Bacterial small subunit ribosomal RNA", at positions 29 to 417 of the family's 1533-position model. The record is from RNAcentral.
AACGAACGCUGGCGGCGCGCCUAAUACAUGCAAGUCGAGCGAGAAGACGUAGCAAUACGUUUGUAAAGCGGCGAACGGGUGAGGAAUACAUGGGUAACCUACCCUCGAGUGGGGAAUAACUAGCCGAAAGGUUAGCUAAUACCGCGUACGCUCCUUGGACUUCGGUUCAGGGAGGAAAGCGAUACCGUGGGUAUCGCGCUCUUGGAUGGGCUCAUGUCCUAUCAGCUUGUUGGUGAGGUAACGGCUCACCAAGGCUUCGACGGGUAGCUGGUCUGAGAGGACGAUCAGCCACACUGGGACUGAGACACGGCCCAGACUCCUACGGGAGGCAGCAGUGGGGAAUCUUGCGCAAUGAGCGAAAGCUUGACGCAGCGACGCCGCGUGAGGGAAGAAGGCCU